AGUGAACGCUGGCGGUAGGCCUAACACAUGCAAGUCGAACGGCAGCACAGUAAGAGCUUGCUCUUACGGGUGGCGAGUGGCGGACGGGUGAGGAAUACAUCGGAAUCUACUUUUUCGUGGGGGAUAACGUAGGGAAACUUACGCUAAUACCGCAUACGACCUACGGGUGAAAGCAGGGGAUCUUCGGACCUUGCGCGAUCGAAUGAGCCGAUGUCGGAUUAGCUAGUUGGCGGGGUAAAGGCCCACCAAGGCGACGAUCCGUAGCUGGUCUGAGAGGAUGAUCAGCCACACGGGAACUGAGACACGGUCCAGACUCCUACGGGAGGCAGCAGUGGGGAAUAUUGGACAAUGGGCGCAAGCCUGAUCCAGCCAUACCGCGUGGGUGAAGAAGGCCUUCGGGUUGUAAAGCCCUUUUGUUGGGAAAGAAAAGCAGCAGGUUAAUACCCCGCUGUUCUGACGGUACCCAAAGAAUAAGCACCGGCUAACUUCGUG
RNAcentral lists this ribosomal RNA (492 nucleotides) under uncultured bacterium. RNAcentral describes it as "partial 16S ribosomal RNA". It matches the Rfam family "Bacterial small subunit ribosomal RNA", at positions 29 to 507 of the family's 1533-position model. The record is from RNAcentral.